This 508-nucleotide ribosomal RNA is filed under the name uncultured bacterium. Its description in RNAcentral is "partial 16S ribosomal RNA". It matches the Rfam family "Bacterial small subunit ribosomal RNA", at positions 30 to 523 of the family's 1533-position model. The record is from RNAcentral.
AUUGAACGCUGGCGGCAUGCCUUACACAUGCAAGUCGAACGGCAGCGGGGGAGAAACUUGCUUUUCCUGCCGGCGAGUGGCGAACGGGUGAGUAAUACAUCGGAACGUGCCCUGUAGGGGGGGAUAACUAGUCGAAAGAUUAGCUAAUACCGCAUACGACCUGAGGGUGAAAGUGGGGGACCGCAAGGCCUCAUGCUAUAGGAGCGGCCGAUGUCUGAUUAGCUAGUUGGUGGGGUAAAGGCCUACCAAGGCGACGAUCAGUAGCUGGUCUGAGAGGACGAUCAGCCACACUGGGACUGAGACACGGCCCAGACUCCUACGGGAGGCAGCAGUGGGGAAUUUUGGACAAUGGGCGAAAGCCUGAUCCAGCAAUGCCGCGUGUGUGAAGAAGGCCUUCGGGUUGUAAAGCACUUUUGUCCGGAAAGAAAUGGCUCUGGUUAAUACCUGGGGUCGAUGACGGUACCGGAAGAAUAAGGACCGGCUAACUACGUGCCAGCCGCCGCAGUAA